This is a long non-coding RNA of Hippoglossus stenolepis (Pacific halibut), 1079 nucleotides long. RefSeq lists it as uncharacterized. Lineage: Eukaryota; Metazoa; Chordata; Actinopteri; Pleuronectiformes; Pleuronectidae. The record is from RefSeq and is a predicted model, not a curated record. The transcript has 2 exons.
CCGCGGUUACAGACGGCAGUUGGAUUUAUGGCUGUCAGACCGCCGAGUCCUCUCAGCCAGCCGUUGUAAAGACACAGCAGUAAAACACAGAGGAAGGAGAGGAGGAAGCAUUUCUUCAUCUUCAGUGGUAUCACCUCCCUGUCACAAAAGGGAAUCAAGAGAAAGUUUGUUAUCGGUCGCGUGUGUAUCGGCGGAAGUUUGCUACUUCCACUCCAUCCCCCCCGGCUUCACUUCUGAACAUUGGGAGGAAGUAGAGACAUGUUCCUGACUUCCAGUAUGAAGAGGCGUCACCACCACCUACUCGUAUCAGAGGUAAUGACAUUUGUCCGCUCCAACACACCUGCUGUGUGAGCUCAUUUCUUCCUGUAUGAAAAUAGAGAGUAUUUAGAGAAACAAUGCUCUAAAGGGCCACAUAUCAACAUGCAUUUAUAUCCAUCCUUCAAAUAAAAACAUUUCCAGAUCAGUGAGGAAACAAUUCAUCUUCUCUUUAAAUCAGAUUGUAGCACAAAGACAUUUCAACUUAUUUGCUGGGUAACUUGGGAAAAAAAAGUAAUUUGUGGUUAGGGUUAGGGUUAGGUCUCCUUUUUCUAAAUGUGACAAAAGCUGUGUCUGUUUUUCUCUUGGGAAAGUAUACGGGACAUCAAAAGAUGAACAGAAAACGAUGGUUAAACACACACAUGAAUCUGAUACAAAUAAGCAACCAACAGAGACUAAUUCUGUAACUAGACUGUUCCUAAUUGUGGAAAGCUCUGACCAUACAGAGCCACCUGCUUACGUAAGAACGUUCGUUACCUGUCGUCGUAUUUAAUCAUCCUUAGUCCUCAUUAGUGUUCGAGAGAAAUAAAACUGUACGGGACAGAAACAUUUAAUCAAACACUCUGUUCUCUGUUUUUAGAAAAAUCAAUUAAAGAGGAAGCAAUGUUAAAAUCCAAGUUAAAGGAAGAGGAGUAUAGUGGAGAGGGUCCAGUCCGUCCUGUGUCAUAUUUAAAUGUUUGUUUUUUUUACUUAUUAAGGGCAAGAGCCAUAGGGCAAAAGUAUUUUAUUGACCUUGGUGUUUAUGCAGCAUCUUUGUCCUUUAU